Pomacea canaliculata is the source of this 107-nucleotide small nuclear RNA. NCBI's taxonomy places the organism in Eukaryota, Metazoa, Mollusca, Gastropoda, Architaenioglossa, Ampullariidae. The record is from RefSeq and is a predicted model, not a curated record.
GUAUUACUUGUGUAGCACAUACGCUAACAUUGGAACGAUACCAAGAACAUUAGUAUGGUCCCUGACGCAAGCAUGACACACACAAUCGUUAAGUGAUCCAAAUUUUU